This 253-nucleotide ribosomal RNA is filed under the name uncultured bacterium. RNAcentral's name for it is "partial 16S ribosomal RNA". It matches the Rfam family "Bacterial small subunit ribosomal RNA", at positions 524 to 776 of the family's 1533-position model. The record is from RNAcentral.
UACGUAGGGUGCGAGCGUUGUCCGGAAUUAUUGGGCGUAAAGAGCUUGUAGGCGGUCUGUCGCGUCUGCUGUGAAAAUCCGGGGCUCAACCCCGGACUUGCAGUGGGUACGGGCAGACUAGAGUGUGGUAGGGGAGACUGGAAUUCCUGGUGUAGCGGUGGAAUGCGCAGAUAUCAGGAGGAACACCAAUGGCGAAGGCAGCUCGCUGGGACGUUACUGACACUGAGGCGCGAAAGCGUGGGGAGCGAACAGG